RNA transcript from Rhagoletis zephyria (snowberry fruit fly), 719 nucleotides. RefSeq lists it as uncharacterized. The record is from RefSeq and is a predicted model, not a curated record. NCBI's taxonomy places the organism in Eukaryota, Metazoa, Arthropoda, Insecta, Diptera, Tephritidae.
UAUCCAGUAAAAAUCCAAUAAAACUUGCAAGUUCAGCUGUCAUUUUUGCUCACUCAAUUCUCUCCCUCUCUUUUGCUGGUUUCUUGCUAGUUUUUUCGCACGAAAACGCCGUCCAGUAAAAACCAGUAAAAUUUGGUGCUGGGUUUUACUGGAUAGUGCGUAUGCGAACAGGGCUAAUAACGUUGCGUGGAGUUCCUGCCAGUGAGUAGUGGGCUAACGCUGACGUCACAAUCGUCCGAGAAUAUGAAGUGUUAUACGUAUGUAUGUGUAUACUGGUAUAGCCCAGUAGCAGCAAAGUAACGCGUGGCUUUUGUGAUUGAUGGCGCAAUAAUUGAUAAUGAUUCGUUGCGUAGGUGACAGAACAUUUUUGACGACCGCGUCGUUAGCAGUUGCAGGUCGUAGAAAAUUCUUGCCCCAAAAUCUAGUCAAAGUUGGUGAAAUAGGACUACAAAUAGAUUACAUCAAACUGAAAGUAAAUUGGAAGCUAAUCACGAAAGAGUAUACACAUGACAAAUAUGUUGAAGAUCUUAAGGUUCCAGCGAUGUCUCAUAUUCACGACCAUUUACGGUGUACGCGGCAUUGGCAAUACGACGCCAAGAGAAGAUUCCCGAGUAGGUAAGUGAUCAUGAAUAUACAGAUUUUUAUUAAAUUUUUGGUUUUUCUAAGUACUCAUGAGUACUACUAGACCUACGGUGACCAUAUUUUUAAAAUAAAAACAG